This 380-nucleotide long non-coding RNA is filed under the name Pan troglodytes (chimpanzee). RNAcentral's name for it is "long non-coding RNA NONPTRT007654". Lineage: Eukaryota; Metazoa; Chordata; Mammalia; Primates; Hominidae. The record is from RNAcentral.
UGUUAUUGCAGUGAGAUGGAAGAUUUUCGAGGUAUAGCAGAAGAAUCAUUUCCAAGCUUUCUCACCAAUUCAUUAUUUGGUAACAGUGGGAUUUUGGAAAAUGUCACUCUUUCUUCAAAUCUUGGCUUGCCUGUUGCUGUUUCCACACUUGCUAGGAAUAGAUCCAGCACUGAUAACAGGUAUCCUGAUAUCCAGGCAUCUUACUUAGUAGAAGGGAGAUUUUCAGUUCCAUCCGGGUCAUCUCCCGGAAGCCAGAGUGAUGCUGAACCAAGAGAGAGGUUACAGCUUAGCUUCCAGGAUGAUGAGUAAGUUCAUACCUUCAUUUGCUUGUACUGUGUUAAAAGUGGGUCUUACGCAGUCUUGUGGAAAAUGACAAUGUG